Molecule: long non-coding RNA, 539 nt
Organism: Capsicum annuum
Lineage: Eukaryota; Viridiplantae; Streptophyta; Magnoliopsida; Solanales; Solanaceae
Exons: 5
Source: RefSeq, a predicted model, not a curated record
CCCCCUAAAACAUAGUGAGCGCCAUGAUGGUAGAUGGAGAAGACGGAGGAAGAGCUUCACAAAGAGCUCUUUGAAGUCAAUCGAUAACAAUAUUACUAAGAGACUUAAGGAUCAUAGAGGUAUUUAACGCGGUGGAUUUGCUGGUGGCGAAAGCGGUGGUCCUCAGAAACUACAAAUGGCGGUCAACAAUGAGAGAGGAAUGAUGCAGAGGAUCAACCAUCAUCUAAAAAACAUACUUCUUCUGCUGUUAUGAAGAAUUCAAAUUAUAGAGGGGAGAUCGCUGAGGAUGUAUCUGGAGCUCCAACAGAUACAAAUAAGGAAAAUGUUGCUAUGGAGCCAAGUCCAAGGGAGCUACCUGUCAGCCAGAAUAAGAGAAAGGCAUCAAAUUGGCUCCGGAGAGAUGGCUAUAAAAGGCCAUAAAAAAUGGAUUUUGAUACCUCCACCAGAUCCUGUGCCUAGAGUGUUUCCCAAAAAAUGAGGAUCCUAAAUUAUUAGCAGUAAUAAAAGAAUGCUGGGAAAGCUAUAGGGGACCUUGGAGG